AGGACUGUCCCCUUUUUAUGCCCUUGGAGACAACUGGAGACACACAGACUGACUGUCUCUAGGGGAAUAAUACCUGAGGAUGCCAGCUUGACAGGGCGAGGACUUGAACUGCUUUGGAAAAGGACUUUAUCUUCUGAAGAUGUAGCUUCGUGACGGAGGGGCAGUGGGUCUGGAAGAGACGGACCCCAAACAGGAGUGCCAUUUACUAAUUUGAACAAAGGUGCCAUAUGGGGCAAAUGGCAGUCCUGGGUCAAUAAAUGGAAGCAGAACCAGAGCAUAUACCUGAGAGCAACGGUGUGCUCUUCCACUCUACGCAGUGGCGAGACGAGGACCUCGUUUAUGGUUCUGCUGAAGUGACAAAAAGACAAUGGGAACACAGCAUAGAAGUCAAGCUAAUUUGGGUUGUGACUAUAUUUAAGGAAUGUUCAGCCGACAGUAUUUUGGAUGCAGAAACGCUUAUUUCCAUAGUCUCCGAAGUUCAAAUCCAACUAACAGAACUAUGGACUUGUUCCAGGUCUCUGUGUCUAUAUGAGUGUAAAAUAAUUGUCAAUGUGGUUUUUAAUGAGAGUACAUUUAUGUCUUUUUUCCUGCAUAUCGUUUUCUUGCUAUCUGGGUCUGGGUCAGGAUUCUCAGGGUGUGAGCAACAGAAAUAAGGAAGAGCUGUAUGAGGAGGGCAGUGAGGUCCCUCAGCAAAUCAGAAGUAGAACUGAACAAUCAGACAGGAAACAGAGCAACUCUGAGCAUGUUAGGAAGAGGGACACAGCAUUUCCUGGGGCACCAAAUCAGAUUAAUUUUAUUAGCACUACCCAUUCCUUUGAGAGAUGAUCUGAUUGACCUUGAGAGAGCCAUGUGCCCAACUGCAAGGGUGGGUGAGCAGCACACUGUGAAAAUGAGCCUAUAACCAGAGAAAAGGAAACAAAAUAAAAAUGCA
Long non-coding RNA from Manis javanica (Malayan pangolin), 931 nucleotides. RefSeq lists it as uncharacterized. The record is from RefSeq and is a predicted model, not a curated record. Lineage: Eukaryota; Metazoa; Chordata; Mammalia; Pholidota; Manidae.